GUACUGGUGAAGAGUCCCAGAUCAGAACGAAACAGGUGUCCAGUAC
Molecule: non-coding RNA, 46 nt
Filed under: Trichobilharzia regenti
Lineage: Eukaryota; Metazoa; Platyhelminthes; Trematoda; Strigeidida; Schistosomatidae
Source: RNAcentral